ACGGCGUCCUCCUCCUCCCGAACUUCAUCUCCUUCGUCUCUCCGUACAAAUCGCAGACGGAAACUACUCUGCCGCCGCAUCCCCCUCUUCCUUCACCGGUGGUCUCUCAUAAACGAGGAAAUGAUCACACCGUCGCAUCAAUGGCUGCCGAGGAGCCUUCAUCCGCUGCUUCCUGUCCUCUGAGCUUGCCUCCGUGAUCUGUCCCUCGCUCGCGUACGCGAACAAGAUUCACUUCAGUUCAGGCUACAACGUGCUGGUUCUGGUCGAUGAGAACGAACCCAAGGAGAGGCUGCUGAAUCGGUUCAGGAGGGAGGUGAUCAGAGCUGGAGUUAUUCAGGAGUGCAAGCGGAGGCUGCCAAGCGCAAUCAUAAAAGGCGUCCUAAGUUGAGGUUUUCUCAGAAGAUAAAGGAAGAAGUUACCAAAAGUGAGAAAGAAGAUGAAGAGGAGGAUAACUGGGACAUGCCUGAUGGAAAGAUGCACCUUACUGGCCAUGAUUUUCGCAGUGCUCUAAUUCUGGGCUCUUUCAAGUUCUGAUUUUUUUGAACUUUUACAUAUGCUUCCUGUAUUUUGUCUUCUAGAAGCUAUAGAGUGAAAGUUCCUUUGCAUUUGCUUGGACUUCUCCAUAAUGGAGAUAAACCCCAGCAGUUUGCAUGAACUGUGCAUAGGUUGCUCCAAUCUUGUGUCUUCGGUUGACAAAAACUCAUGAAGUAAGCAUCAUCCAGAUGCAGGGGACAAUACCCUCUCUACAUUCAGGGUUUUAAACAACUGUAUGGAAACAUCGUUCGAUUUCACAUGGAAGAAUCCUCCAUGGUCCUCUGCAGCUGCUCCUGGAGUGGAACUGCAUGCAGCUGUGAAUUCAUUCUGAGGGCUCAAAUACACUUUGGGAUUCCUUAACCACAUCACGUCUGCUUCCUGCAGCCAAGCCAAAUCACAUACGUUUCAGAAAGCAGCAAGGACAGAAAGGAUAAUGUUGCAAUGGUUAUGAGAUUGUGCAAGAGAACUCACGGUGAAAAUCAGGUUGUACCCGAGUUCUAGAAUCUCUUUCAACAGCGCCUUUUUCCUCCAAGUGGCAGCCAUUCCAUCGGGGUUUGUUGAAGUUUCCUCUGCUGUAGACGUUCUUCGAGAAUUUCUAAGAUGGAAACAGUGGGGAUGUACAGUUUCACAAUAUCGAAGAGCUUCAUCAUCUAGAGCCACAACAAUCACAUGAUCCAAGAAGUGUCUGGUCCUCUCCCCAAUCCUAAAACUCUCUAGGAACAGAUCAAGCAGAGACCCGGGUUUCGCCCAUUCUCGGUCCACCAUGGUAACUAUGACAGUCCUGUCUUCCAUUCUCGAUCUUGUAAGCAAUCUCGAUAGGCCAGAAGGAUCCUAUGACCAGGAAAACUAGUCUUUAUCAGUGAUAACAGAGGCCGAGUAUGGGCAAACACAGUUUCUCUGAUCCUGCUUGAAUCCGAAGGACAUGGUGAUGGGUUAGACAACAACCAGAGAAUCGCCAGGAGAAGGCUGCCUAUGACGAGGUACGGCAACUUUACCAUUCUCACAACAUUCACCAUCUUUGCUCUUCUGAAUCCAAGAACAUGGUCUGUAGGAAUAGGAAUCUUGAAUUGCUAAUGAAAAAAAUCCCCCCAGAUAGUUUUUCAUUUCAAGAUCCGAUAAAUAAGGUAACCCAUCUCGCGCGUUUUCUAUCGUUGGUAAUUUCUUGGAUUCUCUCAAUUGUGCCAAUUUCUUACCCCCAAUAGCGUUUUCGUAGCAAUCACGGACAGUAAUUUCCAGUUCUUGGAUCUAAUGUUACUCAUAUCCCUUCACUAUCCAAGUUAAAUCAAGAACAAAAAAAAAUAUUAAGCCGCCAAUAAAACUUAUUUCCUUUUCGAUUUGAUUGGAUUUUGUGAGUUUUCAAAGCCAGAACAGAGUUUUUGAUUAUUUCCAAUUCAGUUCGCUUCAAAUUUAAGCAUUUACAAAUCACACAAAAAAAAAUGGUAUAUAUUGCAUUCUACAGAUUUUUUUCUUUAUUUUUAUUUUUAUUUUUAUGUAUUUUCGACGGGAGUUCCCAAAUCUUACGGUCCAAUAUGUCUCUCUGAUUCGGGUCACUGUAGAUGUGAUGUAAAUACCCGUCGCUUUCAUAAUUUUUGUAUACAAUGAUAUUUUAUAUAUAAUUUGAUUGAUUGUGGAAUCUUGUAACAAAUCA
Tarenaya hassleriana is the source of this 2182-nucleotide long non-coding RNA. RefSeq lists it as uncharacterized. The record is from RefSeq and is a predicted model, not a curated record. The transcript has 7 exons. Lineage: Eukaryota; Viridiplantae; Streptophyta; Magnoliopsida; Brassicales; Cleomaceae.